GACGAACGCUGGCGGCGUGCUUAACACAUGCAAGUCGAACGGAAAGGCCCUGCUUGCAGGGUGCUCGAGUGGCGAACGGGUGAGUAACACGUGGGUGAUCUGCCCCUUACUUUGGGAUAAGCCUGGGAAACUGGGUCUAAUACUGGAUAGGACCAUGCUGUAGGUGGUGUGGUGGAAAGAUUAGUUUCGGUAAGGGAUGAGCUCGCGGCCUAUCAGCUUGUUGGUGGGGUAAUGGCCUACCAAGGCGUCGACGGGUAGCCGGCCGGAGAGGGUGGACGGCCACAUUGAGACUGAGAUGCGGCGCAGACUCCUACGGGAGGCAGCAGUGGGGGAUAUUGCACAAUGGGCGCAAGCCUGAUGCAGCGACGCCGCGUGGGGGAUGACGGCCUUCGGGUUGUAAACUCCUUUCAGCCAUGACGAAGCCCUUGUGGUGACGGUAGUGGUAGAAGAAGCACCGGCUAACUACGUG
RNAcentral lists this ribosomal RNA (469 nucleotides) under uncultured bacterium. RNAcentral's name for it is "partial 16S ribosomal RNA". It matches the Rfam family "Bacterial small subunit ribosomal RNA", at positions 28 to 507 of the family's 1533-position model. The record is from RNAcentral.